Molecule: ribosomal RNA, 109 nt
Filed under: Petrotoga sp. HWHPT.55.6.3
Lineage: Bacteria; Thermotogati; Thermotogota; Thermotogae; Petrotogales; Petrotogaceae
Description: partial 16S ribosomal RNA
Rfam family: Bacterial small subunit ribosomal RNA
Source: RNAcentral
UAGGAUGAAGGGUUUGAUCCUGGCUCAGGGUUAACGCUGGCGGCGUGCGUAACACAUGCAAGUCGGACGGGUUAUGCUUCUUCGGAAGUAUAACCAGUGGCGAACGGGU